GGCACUCAGACAAGGUGCAGGGCACCCAUCAAACUUCCUGCAGUGGAUUUUCCUGACAGCUUCUUCAAAAGGAGCCCAUCUAAUGUAUUAAAAAUAACUGCAUUUGUGUCCGAUCAGCACAGAGAUGCUCAGAAAGCCUCCAGUUAAAACCAGCGGGGUGGAGAUCUGUGUUUUGACAGCUCCAACCCCAAAUACCUUUCAUGCUUCUGCCUGUCAGGAAGAACCACAGAAACCCCGAGGGUCUCCUGGGCAGGCACUGGUCUCUUGGGGCUGCAGAGGCUCAAAACACAGAAAUGUGUCCUCCGUGGCUCUGGAGGCCUGAAAUCAGGGUCCCAGGCCCACACUCCGCGGAGGCUCUAGGGAAGGACCCUUCCUGCCUCCUGCAGCUCCUGGAGGCUCUUGGCAUUCCUUGGCUUGUGGCCGAAUCGCUCCUUUCUCUGCUUCUGUCUCCACGUGGCUUCCCCCUGUGCGUCUCUGUGUCAUCUAAGGAUACUGGUCAUUAGAUUUAGGGCCCACUCCGAUCCAGGAUGAUCUCAUCGCACAGUCCUCAGUUACAUCUGCACACUCUUUUCCCAAAUAAGGUCACACAGGUUCCAAUGGACGUAUCUUUUCGGGGCUACCAAUUACUCCACAACACCACAAUUCAAGGGGAGAGGCAGCAGGCACCAGGCCUCCUCUCCCGGCAGACAAGUGCUCCCCAAGGCACAGGAUGGGGCUCCCUGGCUCCUGGUGGAAAGCAAGCACCAGAGCCCCAGAUAAGUGCAAGGGGAGGAACAGGAAGGGGCUGGAAGGGCUACCCCAGCCCCCAGCCCCAGCUCAAUUGCCUAGAACAGUCCCAAGACCAGCAUCAUUCUGGCCUCCCUGCAAGGGGGAAGGAAGAGGAGCAGGGGUAGGAGUGACCUUUCACAGCCACCCUGGCCUCAUCCUGUGGGGCCUCCAGCCAGGUGAGGCCAUGCGAGACACAGUGGGAAGCGGGAGGCGGGAGGCGAGUGGGCUCGGGGCAUUUGCCACCCUCUGCCGCUGCACUGUCGGCCCCGUCUCCCCCCCGCUGCCUUCCGGUCCCAUCACUGCCCACUCCUCUUGCUCCCUGGGGGAUAAGGUGGAAAGAGGUCCCCUGGAUUCAAGCCUUAGAAUCCUGCAGCCACCCAACCGGCCACCCCAUCUGUCCACGCCUCAUCUGCUGUCCCUGAGCUCAAUGUCUUCCAGCUGCUGGUUGGAGGUGCCAGCUGGUUCCUGCUGGGUCCGUCUGACAGUGGCACAGGGAGGUUCAGGUGGGCACAGACGCCGCCGCCUCAGCUCUGAGUGUUAUUGGUAUCACCCCCCACCUUGAAUCCCAGCAAACCAAGAGGAGGGAGGAGGACGGAGGGAGAGGGAGAAGAAGGGAGGUGGAAGAAGGGGGAGGUUGGAGGAGUGAGGGGGAGGGAGGAGGAGGGAGGCUAGCAGUGCCCAGGAUCACCCAGCCCAGGAAGAGCGUGGAAAGGUGGCCGGCCCUGGCUUGAGGGUGGGGGGACUCUGGGUGGCUCUGCCCUGUACCCUGAAAUCUCUGUACACCAACCUCAUGGGCCAAGAGAUCUGCUGCCCUGUCCCUGCCCUGGGGCUUGACCAGAAUGUCGGGGGCAGCAUUUGGGGUAGAAUAAAAUGGACAUGCUCACCUGCCCUUGGGGUUCGCAGCCUCCACCGGGUCACCGGCAGCUCCAUUCCAGCCCGAGGGGUGAGCAGCCCUUCCGAACCGGUCUCAACCCUUUCUGUGGGGCUGCCAUUGUCCUGAUUCUCUCCCCAAAAUUGUCAGCUGGGAUCACCUUGCAGAAACCCAGUUAAAACCCAAGCACAGGACUCGGAGGAGACAGAUCUCCCAAGAGGCUCCAGCCUCCAAGAGCCGGCAGAUCGGCCUGCGUCUGUCAAUGGAACUGCUGCGACUAUUUGUCCAUAAAUAAAACCUGUUUUCAUUUCUCCUGCCCUCAAGAAACUGCUGCUCUCCGAGACCAGGCCCAGGAGUGUGGGCUGCUUAGAAAGGAAACCCAAGAGGCACCAGCAGGACCUCGCUUAGCACGGCAUCCCCACUGCCUGCCCACCGGUCCCCAGGAGAAUCAGCCAUCCCAGGCAUAGCAGGCUUUAGGAUGCUGAGAUUGCCUGGGCAUGCUGGCUGGUGCCUGUGGCCCCUGCCUGGGAGGCUGAGGCAGGAGAAUCGCUUGAGCCUGGGAGGUCAAGGCCGCAAUGAGUCGUGAUGGCACUACUGCACUCCAGCCUGGACGGCAGAGCAGGAACCUGUCUCAAAAAAAAAAAAAAAUGGUGGGAAUGGCUUCACAACUGUGGAGUGCUUUUCUCAUUUUACUAGGUGAGGAGGAACAGGUCCAUGCUCCCCGAGGCACAGGCACCUAAGACAAGCCUGGCCCCGGCCGCGUUAGUGGAGAAGGCUACAGAUGGCCAAGAUGCUCACAGGACGGGCACUUCCUGCCCAGGAUUCCAAUGUGGCCCCAUCCACACUGGGAUGGUUUUGAGAACCAGGUGACGGCAGGUGCACCUGUCCUCUGAGCCCCAUCUGGAAACUGCUUUGUGGACAACCGUGGCCUUGGAUGAAAGGGGUCCUUGCCAGAGCUUGUGGGGUGCACAGCUGGAGGAGAAGGGUUUCUGCAUCACCUGUUUUCAUUGGUUCCAAGGCUCAAGGCCCUCCUGGAGUCCCCGAGAGACCGCCUCAUCCGCCUGGGAAGCGGGUUGCCUGCAUAAGCCAGGGCAGGACACACCAGCCCCACACAGGAGCCCGUGAGGGCUCCGCACUGCCCCCACCCUGAGCCGGGCUCCUGCAGGCUCCCCGGCCCCACAGACCUGUCACCACGUAGAUGCGCUCUCUCCGGCUCACAGGGCCUGAGGACAGGGUUUCCUCUCCACCCUCAGGGAGCAGCAAGGGCUGGGUGGAAGUGGGGGGUCCCAGCAAGUCCCAGCCCAGAGUGCCAGGAACAGGUGAGCUGGAGUGAGGAGUGAACACUGAAAACACACAGGCUGUCACCGCCUGGGGCCACGGGUUCUGCCCCAGAGAUAGCGCCAGCUGGACUGCCGGCGGGUCUGGAGCCACCUCUGCACCUUGCCCGGCCGCCGGGCUCAGCACCGGUCUAAGGAGAGUCCGCUGUGGUACGGCCGCUGGGCAGUGGCUCUGAGCCCUCCGCCUCCAGCAUCGAGGUGACUGAGGGGAUAGCACAGAGAGGGUGGCUGGACGUGGAUUUCCUGGAGGGGAGGCGGGAGUGCCUGAGCCACAAACAGGUUUCAUCACAAAACCUGUGUCUGGCGUGGUGGCAGGGGGACCUGUGGGCUGAAAGCAGCAGCCCCUGGAUCAGCAAAUGGCCCCGGCCUCAGAACUGCACAGCAGCGGCCACCAGGGCCACAGCCGAGGGCCAGAGUGGGAGAAGAGCAAGGGCAGGCGGGUAUGGGUGCCAUGGCAAGGGUGGGGCCAAGUGGGCAAAGGGACAGACCUGUGUUCCCGGCGCUCCCGGCGUGGGCCGACCCAGCACCUGGGGCCUGCACUCACUCACCUCCUGUCACAGCAGAUGGUGCUGGGGACCCAGCGAGGCCUCAGGGCUGCCCCAGGCCCACGGUGCCUGCAGGGCCAAGGAAGGGCCAGUCUAGGCCCGGCCCCAUCAUCUGGCUCUUUACUCCCCCUCCUGGGGCUCCUUAUGACCACAAGGACGAGCCUUGUGGAUGAGGGGUGUGGACUGGACAGCAGGGAGGGCUUCCUGGAGGAGGGGCUGAGUCGGCUUUGAAGUCAGGGGAAGGGAGUGGUGCACAGGUCCCCCCGAGUCUCCCAGCAUCCGAGCCUUGAUCAACAGGAGGGAGAUGGGUACCUUGGGGUCGGUGCUCUCUCUUUCCCUCCCCGGCUACUCAGCUGGACCCCAGGGUCACCUCCUCCAUGAAGCCCUGUUUCCCCAUCCCUGCGGUCAGUGUGUGCGGCAGCCCCACCCUGAGGAGGGGGUGGAGCUGGGUGGGUGCAGACACUACUGGUGAUGAACAGACAGACGUCCCCGCAGGAGGGGACGGAGCUUCCGUUUCCAGCACCAGCUUCAUUCCCGGGGAUUUUUACUGUUCAGUUUCUAAAAAUGGCAGAAGUUCAUUUCUUAACAUCCCCUUGGCAAGGCUGCUUCCAUUUCGGUGAAAGUGGAGGCCGUUUGUGGUUUUCUCUGCCUGCCGGAGGCUGGGCCACGGUGUCUGCGGAAGACGCUGUGUGCACAGCUGGGCUUUCUUUGUGUGUGCCAGCAUUGCUCAGGAAGGGGAAGGAAAAGGAAACUGAGUCGCGAAGGGCAGGCCAACACCCGGAGGCCAAGCAGGUUUCACGGCAGCCACUUCUGCCAAACGCCAGAGGCACGUCCACCAGGUCACCUGGACAGCCCAGCCAGGUGCCCACCCAGUUUCUGUCACCUGCACCCAGAACCGGCCCUCAGUGGAGUCCUCGCUCCAGACAGAGGGGCUUCAGGACACUGAGAAGGGUCUUGGGGUAGAUUCUUUUCUGAAGGAAGCCGGAGAUGCUGAGUUGGAAAGGGACCCUAAGACUGUCCCCUGACCCCACCCAGCCCUUCCGGCGACACUCAGAAGAAGCUGCUGGCAAGAGCCAAGAGAUGGAUGUCCAGUCCUCGGUCUGUGCACACCUGAGGGGCUCGUGCCCUGCAGGGAGCUAAACCUGAGACUGAAGCUGUAUCCAGACACACUUACUCACGGCAUGUCCCAAAUGCCUGACACCCACAGAUCCACCCAAGUCUGCUUCUCUGCUGUGCCUGCAGCCCCCAGGAGUGGCUAUCUGCAUGGUCAAAGCCACUCCUCCCAACUUGGGGGCUCCGGGAGGAGGGCAGGGUGGGGAGAGAGUAGCUCCCUGGGAGCCCCAGGGUGGCCUGCUCAACACAGGCUCUGUGGCUUCCAGCCCACUGGGGAGAGAUGAGACAAAGGGAGAAUGGAAAGAUCUGGAAUUUCUUUCGUGCAUGGAGCGGGGGCAGUCCUCAGAAGCACAGCCUGAGACAGGGAUUGUGGUGCAGGUGAUGGAUGGAGGGUGGGCCCUCAGGGGAGGAGAGGGAAACACAGGUGACACAGGUGUAGCUCAGAGCCUUAUAGCCUCAGGAAUCUCCCCCAGGGGUGCUUCCAGAAUGCAGACCCCAAGGCUCACCCCAGACCAACUGGAUCAGAAUCUCCAGGGCAGAGACCUAGAACUUGGGGCUAGGGGUUUCUAAUUUUUUUUUUUUUUUUUUUUUUGAGAUGGAGUCUCGCUCUGUCACCCAGGCUGGAGUGCAGUGGCACGAUCUCAGCUCUCCACCUCCCAGAUUCAAGUGAUUCUCCUGCCUCAGCCUUCUGAGUAGCUGGGAUUACAGGAGCCCGCCACCUCCCUCAGCUAAUGUUUUAUAUUUUUGGUAGAGACAGGGUUUCACCAUGUUGUCCAGGCUGGUCUCAAACUCCUGACCUCAAGUGAUCUGCCUGCCUCGGCCUCCCAAAGUGCUGGGAUGACAGGCCUGAGCCACCAUGCCUGGCCAUCUAAAUUGUUAUUAAUAGACUUUAUUUUUUAGAACAGUUGUAGAGAAGCGUUGAGCCCACAGGACAGCGGCUCCAUGGUGUCUCCUGGCCCUCACCUGUUAAUAACAGGUGUCUCCCUGUUAUUAACAUUUUGCAUUAGUGUGGUACAUUGUUACAAUUAAUGAGCCAAUAUUGAUACAUUAUUAAGGAAAGUCUGCAGUUUAUAUUAGGGUUCAUCAGUCUUGUACCUUCUGUGGGUUUGGACAAAUGUGUAAUGUCCUAUAUCUACCAUCCCAGGAUCCUGCAGAAGAGUUUCAUUGCCCGAAAAAAUCCUUGGAGCUCCACCUGUUUAUUCCUCCCUCCCCACAACCCCUGGCACCCACUGAUCCUCUUACUGUCUUUCCAGUUUGUCUUACCCAGAACGUCACACAGCUGGGAUUAUACCGUAUGCAGCCUUUUCAGACCAGCUUCUUUCCCUUCGCAGUAUGUAGUUGAGGUUUCUCCCUGUCUUUUCAUGGCUUGAUAGCUUGUUCUUUUUACGGCUGAAUAAUAUUCCAUUAUCUGGAUGUCCCCCAGCUUGUUUAUUCACUCAGCUAUUGAUGGACAUCUUGGUUUUUGGCAUUUAUGAAGAAGGCUGCUAUAAACAUACAUGUGCAGGUUUCUGUGUGGCUUUCACCCCUUUGGGAGUAGAAAUGCCAAGGAGGGCGAUCGUUGGAACACGUGGUAAGGAUACGUUGAGCUUUGUAGGAAGUUGCCAAAGUGCCUUCCAGCACGGCUGCGCCAUUUUGAAUUCCCAGCAGCCACGGGUGAGGGCGGUUCUGUUGCUCCGCAGCCUUGCCAGCGUUUGGUGUCGUCAGGAUCUUGGUUUUGGUUUUUGUAGCCAUUCUCAUUUGAUCUCAUUGUUUUAAUCGACAUUUCUCUAAUGACAUAUGAUGUGGAGCAUUUUUCUUGUGCUUAUUUUUCCAUUGCUACGUCUUCUUUGAUGAGGUGUCUAUUCAGAUGUUUUGCCCAUUUCUUCAUGUUUGUUUCCUUAUUGUUGAGUUGUAAAAGUUCUUUAUAUAUUUUGGAUAACACUCCUUUAUCAAGUAUUUUGCAAAUAUUUUUUCCUAGGCUGUAUCUUGUCUUCUCAUUCGUUUAACAGUGUCAUUUUUAGAGCGUUUUUGUUUUGUUUUGUUUUUGUUUUUUCUUUUUUGUUUUUGAGACGGAGUUUCGCUCUUGUUGCCCAGGCUGGAGUGUAAUGGCACAAUCUCGGCUCACCACAACCUCCGCCUCCCGGGUUCAAGUGAUUCUCCUGCCUCAGCCUCCCGAGUAGCUGGGAUUACAGGCGUGCACCACCAUGCCCAGCUAAUUUUGUAUUUUUAGUAGAGAUGGGGUUUCUCCAUGUUGGUCAGGCUGGUCUUGAACUCCUGACCUCAGGUGAUCCACCCGCCUUGGCCUCCAAAAGUGCUGGGAUUACAAGUGUGAGCCACCACGCCCAGCCGUGUAAUUUCUUAAUUUUAAUGAAGUCCAGCUUAUUCAUUUUUUUUGUGGAUUAUGCUUUUGAUGUUGCAUCUAAAAACUCAUUGCCAAACCCAAGAUACCUAGAUUUUAUACCCAAGAUACCUAGAUUUUAUUACCUAGAAAUUUUAUUAUCUUGUAUUUUAUAUUAAAUAAAAUGUGUUAUUAUCUAUAAAUUGUAUUAUCUUGCAUUUUAUAUUAAGGUCUGUGAGGCCUUUUGAGUUAAUUAUCCUGAAAGGUAUAAGACCCAUUUUUUUCUACAUGUGGAUGUCAGUUGUUCCAGCACCAUCUGUUGAAAGACAGUCUUUUCAACAUCAAUAACUUUUGCUUCUUUCUCAAAGAUCAUUUGCCCAUGCAUGUGUCCGUCCACUUCUGGGCUCUCUUUUCUGUUCCAUUGGAAUAUUUGUCUGUUCUUUAGCCACGAUUACACUUUACUGGCUGGGUGUGGUGGCUCACGCCUGUAAUCCCAGCACUUUGGGAGGCCGAGGCGGGUGGAUCACUUGAGGUCAGGAGUUCGAGGCCAGUCUGGCCAAUAUAGUGAAACCCCCAUCUCUACUAAAAAUACAAAAAUUAGCCAGGUAUGGUGGCAGGUGCCUGAAAUCCCAAGUACUCAAGAGGCUGAGGCAGGAGAAUCACUUGAACCCAGGAGGCAGAGG
This 7634-nucleotide long non-coding RNA is filed under the name Homo sapiens (human). RNAcentral's name for it is "non-protein coding lnc-SLCO4A1-4:1". Lineage: Eukaryota; Metazoa; Chordata; Mammalia; Primates; Hominidae. The record is from RNAcentral.